Molecule: ribosomal RNA, 264 nt
Filed under: uncultured archaeon
Lineage: Archaea
Description: partial 16S ribosomal RNA
Rfam family: Archaeal small subunit ribosomal RNA
Source: RNAcentral
AGUCACUGACAUUAGAUACCCCUGUAGUCCAGGGUGUAAACGCUGCAGACUUGGUGUUGGAAGUCCUUUGGGGGCAUUCAGUGCCGGAGAGAGGUUGUUAAGUCUGCUACUUGGGGAGUACGUCCGCAAGGAUGAAACUUAAAGGAAUUGGCGGGGGAGCACCGCAACGGGAGGAGCGUGCGGUUUAAUUGGAUUCAACACCGUAAACUCACCAGGGAAGACUGUUACAUGAAGGCCGAGAUGAAGACUCUGCUAGAUUUUCAG